CUCCGGCACUCUCUCGCCAGAGAUCCUCAAGCUGACGAGCCUAGAGUUCUUAAACAUCUCAAACAACGCCUUUGAAGGAGAGCUUGCGCCACUCGAUUUCAGCCAAAUGACUCACCUCACGACGCUGGACGCUUACGACAACAACCUCAACGGAUCGCUAACGACGCUCGACGCUUACGACAACAACCUCAACGGAUCGCUCCCUCUGUCUCUAACCAAACUCAAUCAACUCGAUUACUUAGACCUCGGAGGAAACUACUUCAACGGUGAGAUCCCUAGAAGCUACGGAGGUUUCUUGCGUCUCACGUUACUUUCCUUAUAUGGAAAUGACC
RNAcentral lists this long non-coding RNA (332 nucleotides) under Brassica napus (rape). RNAcentral describes it as "long non-coding RNA (BNAP_LNC002908)". The record is from RNAcentral. Lineage: Eukaryota; Viridiplantae; Streptophyta; Magnoliopsida; Brassicales; Brassicaceae.